GGGCCAUUCCAUUUAAUGUACACCCCCCCCCCCUGUGGACGAAGUCAAUAAAAUUUGAACCCCUAAGAAAAAAAGAUCAAAGUGCCGACACAAACACCCCUCCAGAAAUUAAGAAAUUUUUGCCUUACCCCUCGGAAAAAACGCAAAGAUCAAAGGAUGCCGAUGCACACAACCCUCAGAAACGGCUUUUUCAACCCCCCUCAGAAAUUUUCGUCCACAGGGGGGUGUGUAUAUUAAAUGGAAUGGCCC
This is a non-coding RNA of Paramuricea clavata, 249 nucleotides long. The record is from the annotation of a GenBank genome assembly. Lineage: Eukaryota; Metazoa; Cnidaria; Anthozoa; Malacalcyonacea; Plexauridae.